Molecule: ribosomal RNA, 729 nt
Filed under: uncultured Pseudomonas sp.
Lineage: Bacteria; Pseudomonadati; Pseudomonadota; Gammaproteobacteria; Pseudomonadales; Pseudomonadaceae
Description: bacterial SSU rRNA
Rfam family: Bacterial small subunit ribosomal RNA
Source: RNAcentral
CACGCCGUAAACGAUGUCAACUAGCCGUUGGAAUCCUUGAGAUUUUAGUGGCGCAGCUAACGCAUUAAGUUGACCGCCUGGGGAGUACGGCCGCAAGGUUAAAACUCAAAUGAAUUGACGGGGGCCCGCACAAGCGGUGGAGCAUGUGGUUUAAUUCGAAGCAACGCGAAGAACCUUACCAGGCCUUGACAUGCAGAGAACUUUCCAGAGAUGGAUUGGUGCCUUCGGGAACUCUGACACAGGUGCUGCAUGGCUGUCGUUAGCUCGUGUCGUGAGAUGUUGGGUUAAGUCCCGUAACGAGCGCAACCCUUGUCCUUAGUUACCAGCACGUUAUGGUGGGCACUCUAAGGAGACUGCCGGUGACAAACCGGAGGAAGGUGGGGAUGACGUCGAGUCAUCAUGGCCCUUACGGCCUGGGCUACACACGUGCUACAAUGGUCGGUACAGAGGGUUGCCAAGCCGCGAGGCGGAGCUAAUCUCACAAAACCGAUCGUAGUCCGGAUCGCAGUCUGCAACUCGACUGCGUGAAGUCGGAAUCGCUAGUAAUCGCGAAUCAGAAUGUCGCGGUGAAUACGUUCCCGGGCCUUGUACACACCGCCCGUCACACCAUGGGAGUGGGUUGCACCGGAAGUAGCUAGUCUAACCUUCGGGAGGACGGUUACCACGGUGUGAUUCAUGACUGGGGCGAAGUCGUAACAAGGUAGCCGUAGGGGAACCUGCGGCUGGAUC